RNAcentral lists this ribosomal RNA (640 nucleotides) under uncultured bacterium. RNAcentral's name for it is "bacterial SSU rRNA". It matches the Rfam family "Bacterial small subunit ribosomal RNA", at positions 232 to 885 of the family's 1533-position model. The record is from RNAcentral.
CGCGGCCUAUCAGCUUGUUGGUGAGGUAAUGGCUCACCAAGGCGACGACGGGUAGCUGGUCUGAGAGGACGAUCAGCCACACUGGAACUGAGACACGGUCCAGACUCCUACGGGAGGCAGCAGCAGGGAAUCUUGCGCAAUGGGCGAAAGCCUGACGCAGCGACGCCGCGUGGGGGAUGAAGGCCUUCGGGUUGUAAACCCCUUUCAGGAGGGAAGAAAAUGACGGUACCUCCAGAAGAAGCCCCGGCCAACUACGUGCCAGCAGCCGCGGUAAUACGUAGGGGGCGAGCGUUGUCCGGAUUUAUUGGGCGUAAAGGGCUCGUAGGCGGCUUGACAAGUCGAUCGUGAAAACCCAGGGCUCAACCCUGGGACGCCGGUCGAUACUGUCAUGGCUAGGGUCCGGUAGAGGAGAAUGGAAUUCCCGGUGUAGCGGUGAAAUGCGCAGAUAUCGGGAGGAACACCAGUAGCGAAGGCGGUUCUCUGGGCCGGUGCCGACGCUGAGGAGCGAAAGCGUGGGGAGCAAACAGGAUUAGAUACCCUGGUAGUCCACGCCGUAAACGUUGGGCACUAGGUGUGGCGUCUUUAUCAACGGAUGCCGUGCCGAAGCUAACGCAUUAAGUGCCCCGCCUGGGGAGUACGG